AUUGAACGCUGGCGGCAGGCCUAACACAUGCAAGUCGAACGGUAACAGGAAACAGCUUGCUGUUUCGCUGACGAGUGGCGGACGGGUGAGUAAUGUCUGGGAAACUGCCUGAUGGAGGGGGAUAACUACUGGAAACGGUAGCUAAUACCGCAUAACGUCGCAAGACCAAAGAGGGGGACCUUCGGGCCUCUUGCCAUCGGAUGUGCCCAGAUGGGAUUAGCUAGUAGGUGGGGUAACGGCUCACCUAGGCGACGAUCCCUAGCUGGUCUGAGAGGAUGACCAGCCACACUGGAACUGAGACACGGUCCAGACUCCUACGGGAGGCAGCAGUGGGGAAUAUUGCACAAUGGGCGCAAGCCUGAUGCAGCCAUGCCGCGUGUAUGAAGAAGGCCUUCGGGUUGUAAAGUACUUUCAGCGGGGAGGAAGGGAGUAAAGUUAAUACCUUUACUCAUUGACGUUACCCGCAGAAGAAGCGCCGGCUAACUCCGUG
This 490-nucleotide ribosomal RNA is filed under the name uncultured bacterium. RNAcentral's name for it is "partial 16S ribosomal RNA". It matches the Rfam family "Bacterial small subunit ribosomal RNA", at positions 30 to 507 of the family's 1533-position model. The record is from RNAcentral.